Molecule: non-coding RNA, 23 nt
Filed under: Arabidopsis thaliana (thale cress)
Lineage: Eukaryota; Viridiplantae; Streptophyta; Magnoliopsida; Brassicales; Brassicaceae
Source: RNAcentral
UGCAUAGCAGGGGCCAAAUGCUA